Molecule: long non-coding RNA, 175 nt
Organism: Xiphophorus hellerii (green swordtail)
Lineage: Eukaryota; Metazoa; Chordata; Actinopteri; Cyprinodontiformes; Poeciliidae
Exons: 3
Source: RefSeq, a predicted model, not a curated record
GUUAGUUUAGUUUUCAAUAUUCUCUUAUUGUUUCUGCAGGAUAUGGAGCUGGACCAGCAAAUCUACAAAAAAUGAAAGGUUUUGGUGCUCAAGCUGGUGGAUACGGCAGACAAGCAUCUAAAGGCAAUGGUGCUGCAGCUGCUUCACGAAGUGGAUUUGGAAGUAAAGGCAAUGG